CAUGACAAUUAAUGCCUUAAUAACGUGCAAUUAAAUCGUCGUGUUUCACGAACAGAAUGAAUUCAAAUGAACUUUCCGGCAUACUUUCUCUUGCAGCCAAUAUCAACCUAAGUGUUGGAUUACAUUGCAAAUACGAAAGAAUCGCUUUCGAAACGCUUGGGAGAGGGUAGUAUAGAACUAACGCAAAGAUAAUUUACCAGCGCGUGAAAUUGCCAUCAAAAAAACGUUUGAUGUUAUGCUAAGGAUUAAAAGUUUAAGAAAAUACGUACCUGACCGGCUGUAUCACAGAAUUGAACUGUACAUGGAACAUUGUUGACUGUCACGGAAACUACAUGAAGAAAAGAAGAGAACAAAAUGUUUAUAUUAAACUAGCAAGUAAUAAGAUUACUAUUAAAUACAUCAUAAAUAAAUUAAAUAAAAACACACAUAACAA
Molecule: long non-coding RNA, 433 nt
Organism: Xenia sp. Carnegie-2017
Lineage: Eukaryota; Metazoa; Cnidaria; Anthozoa; Malacalcyonacea; Xeniidae
Exons: 2
Source: RefSeq, a predicted model, not a curated record